Maylandia zebra (zebra mbuna) is the source of this 1902-nucleotide non-coding RNA. The record is from RefSeq and is a predicted model, not a curated record. NCBI's taxonomy places the organism in Eukaryota, Metazoa, Chordata, Actinopteri, Cichliformes, Cichlidae.
CCUCGUCGGUCAUGUGACCGUGUUACUGUUCGGGCUCAAACUGAUACGAGUGGUUUAGCAGGUGUGACAGGACGAUGCUGCACAGCCUCAUUGUUCAGGUGUGAGUCAGACUCUGAGUCUUUAUACAGUCCUGUUUAACAACAUGUUGUUCCUGUUGAUGUGUCACAGAGAUCAGCUGUGCUAAACUCUGCUGCGUGCAGCUACUAGUUUCUCUAGUUUGGUGAUGGAAACGUCGAUGAGACUGUUUCCAUCACCAAACAUCACGAGGAACACCUCUGACUCUGAUUCUGACUCUGUGCAUAAAACCACAAUUAUCCCUUCAUGUCUGUUCAUCUGAUUCUGUAACGUGAGAAACUUUGAUGUCUGAAUUUUGAAUCAUUAAUCAUUAAAGUCCAGACUCGUAAUUCUUAGAGGUUGGACUCAGCAGACGCUCCAUAACACAACAUCAUCACAGUCCUUCAGUUAUGAUUUCAUAUGAUUGAGUUUUGAGUGUUACAGUGAUGUGUUUUCAUGUUGUUGCAGGUCUCUGAGUGUGAAACCUGUCAGUUAAAACGAAGAUCUUUCACUUCAUUUCCCUCACUGCGUUUCAAGACCUGAUUUUCUGAUUUUCAUGCGCUCACUUCCUGUGUUGUGACAAGUUAAUUAUCCUGAGUGCGCACUGGGCAGGGAGACUCCGCCUCCAUUAAAACAAACUAGAUGUGGAAGUAGUGACGUUUUAGUUUAGUGCAGACGUGAGAGAUGAGUGUCGUUACAUUACUGUUCAUUUUCUGUUACAGCGUUUAUUGUCCACACGUGUGAUCAGACAGGAUUAUUUCAACGAUCUCAUGUUUAUUUUAUCCUCCUGUAACUUUAUGAAGAGCUAAACCUUCACCACUAGUUAGUCCUCAUAAGAACUGUUUGUGAGCUAAGAAUCAACAAUGACAAAGACUGUGAGUGUCAUGCAGUGACUCCUCAGAAUUAGGCUGAUUUUUAAGUUUUGUGUCAAUCAAAGCUAGAAGCUGGUGUAGCGUUGAGCUUUAUUGUUGAUUAAUUAAAAAAAUAUAUGUAAAAGAAAAAAGGACUAGAUGUGUUUUCUGUCUUUAGAAAAAGGUAAAAUUGGUUAUAUUUUGUUGGGCUAAUUCUGACCAAUCGUGACAGUCCAGAACUUUUCCCUGCUGCUGUAUCCUGUAACAAUCAGUGUUGGGACUAACGUGUUCGUAAAUAACGCGUUAGGUGUGAUGAUAACGCCAACUGAUUUUAGUUUUAUGAUUCCUGGCUCCCAUCUAUGAGGUUUCUCAUGUUUGUAAAAGUUACCUCAUCAUCCUCAGAGUCAUCCUCCUCAACUGGCUGCUACUUUAUGAAAACCAUGUGUAACACCUGCACAUGUGUUUGAAAAAACAAACGCUUUGAUUUUGACACCCCAAGAAAUCUCCUAGAUCUGCACGUGUUCAGAGUAAGAGCAGAAUAAACAGCAGCAGAAGCUGAUUGAUGAACAGCUGAAUGACAUAUCAGCUGUAGCUGCAGCAUCUGCACAGAGUUUGAUUGGCUAACGCUGAUUUGUUUGUUUUUUUAAACAGUACAGCAGAGAGAGAGAGAGAGGAGAUGAAGAGUGCAGCAGAUUGAUGAGACAGUGAAGAAGAGAAAGAUGAUGGAAGAACCUAAAGAACAGCCAGCCAAAGCAGCUCCAUCAGCAGAGGAGGAGCUUGCCAGGGUGCGGUCAGCCUUUGUCUGGAGGGUAACAACAGAAAUCCUUAAACUGCUCCUUGAGGCCCUUGUAAGUGAUGGUAUCUUAAAUAAGUUGGAGGAAGAAUCGAUACUGGAGGGGAACCCACUCAGAGCAGACAAGGCACGCAGCUUGAUCGACACAGUGAGGAAAAAAGGAGACAAAGCAUGCAAGAUAACAAUCAAGCAUCUUCAGAUCAA